Aotus nancymaae (Ma's night monkey) is the source of this 102-nucleotide unclassified non-coding RNA. It matches the Rfam family "Y RNA". From Rfam's summary of the family: Y RNAs are components of the Ro ribonucleoprotein particle (Ro RNP), in association with Ro60 and La proteins. The Y RNAs and Ro60 and La proteins are well conserved, but the function of the Ro RNP is not known. The record is from Ensembl. NCBI's taxonomy places the organism in Eukaryota, Metazoa, Chordata, Mammalia, Primates, Aotidae.
GGCUGGUCUGAGUGCAGUGGUGAUUAUGACUAAUUGGUCACAACCAAUUACAGAUUUACUUGUCACUUUUCUACUCCUACUGCUUCAGUUGAAUAGCCAAAA